This 650-nucleotide ribosomal RNA is filed under the name uncultured marine bacterium. RNAcentral describes it as "bacterial SSU rRNA". It matches the Rfam family "Bacterial small subunit ribosomal RNA", at positions 96 to 778 of the family's 1533-position model. The record is from RNAcentral.
UGGCAGACGGGUGAGUAACAUGUGGGUAUCUUCCCUUUGGUGAGGAAUAACACGAGGAAACUUGUGCUAAUACCUCAUAAGUCUUUACGGAGAAAGCUUUAUGCGCCAAUGGAUGAGCCCGCACUUGAUUAGUUUGUUGGUGAGGUAACGGCUUACCAAGACUACGACGGCUAGCCGAUGUGAGAGCAUGAUCGGCCACAAGGUCACUGAGACACGGGGCCUACACCUACGGGUGGCAGCAACCGGGAAUUUUGCGCAAUGGACGAAAGUCUGACGCAGCGACACCGCGUGUGGGAUGACGCUCUUCGGAGUGUAAACCACUGUGGCAGGGGAGGAAUUAAUGACAGUACCCUGCUAGAAAGCACCUGCUAACCACGUGCCAGAAGCCUCGGUAAUACGUGGGGUGCAAGCGUUAUCCGGAUUUACUGGGCGUAAAGGGUUCGUCGGCGGUUCGCCAAGUCUGAUGUUUAAGCCCAAGGCUCAACUUUGGAAAAGCAUUAGAAGCUGGUGAACUUGAGUAUGUUAGAGGUAGUUGGAAUUCUUGGUGGAGGGGUGAAAUCCGUAGAUAUCAAGAGGAACGCCGCGCGCGAAGGCAGGCUACUAUGACAUUACUGACGCUCAUGAACGAAAGCUAGGGUAGCAAAAGGGAU